GCCGGUGUAGCUCAACUGGCAGAGCAGUAGUAUCGUAAACUACAGGCUGCAGGUUCAACUCCUGUCACCGGCUCCA
RNAcentral lists this transfer RNA (76 nucleotides) under Halanaerobium congolense. Its description in RNAcentral is "tRNA_Thr_CGT". It matches the Rfam family "tRNA". Rfam says of the family: Transfer RNA (tRNA) molecules are approximately 80 nucleotides in length. Their secondary structure includes four short double-helical elements and three loops (D, anti-codon, and T loops). Further hydrogen bonds mediate the characteristic L-shaped molecular structure. tRNAs have two regions of fundamental functional importance: the anti-codon, which is responsible for specific mRNA codon recognition, and the 3' end, to which the tRNAs corresponding amino acid is attached (by aminoacyl-tRNA synthetases). tRNAs cope with the degeneracy of the genetic code in two manners: having more than one tRNA (with a specific anti-codon) for a particular amino acid; and 'wobble' base-pairing, i.e. permitting non-standard base-pairing at the 3rd anti-codon position. Lineage: Bacteria; Bacillati; Bacillota; Clostridia; Halanaerobiales; Halanaerobiaceae. The record is from RNAcentral.